RNAcentral lists this ribosomal RNA (253 nucleotides) under uncultured bacterium. RNAcentral's name for it is "partial 16S ribosomal RNA". It matches the Rfam family "Bacterial small subunit ribosomal RNA", at positions 524 to 776 of the family's 1533-position model. The record is from RNAcentral.
UACGAAGGGGGCUAGCGUUGUUCGGAAUUACUGGGCGUAAAGCGCACGUAGGCGGACUGUCAAGUCAGGGGUGAAAUCCCGGGGCUCAACCUCGGAACUGCCUCUGAUACUGUCAGUCUAGAGUCCGGAAGAGGUGGGUGGAAUUCCUAGUGUAGAGGUGAAAUUCGCAGAUAUUAGGAAGAACACCAGUGGCGAAGGCGGCUCACUGGUCCGGUACUGACGCUGAGGUGCGAAAGCGUGGGGAGCAAACAGG